CUGUCAGUUUCUCUGUGUAGUUCGUGGUGUGUUCAAGUGUUCAGUCUAAAGAAGUGGGAAGUUGACUGUCAGUUCUGGAAACUUUUAUAAAUUGGAGCCAUGAGUCUUAGAAACCUAUUUAUACUAAAAGAAGUGUAAUUCGAUGUGACGGCUCUGUUCUGAAUGCCGUACUGAAGAGGUUUGAUAACUAUUCCAGGAACUUUGAACUCUGGCCAUGAAGGAUCAUUCUUCAGAAUUUCCACUACUUUGAAUUUGUGACAACUUCUAAAGGCUCGUGUGCCUCGUGCUGACGUAGAUUUUGUCGUCAUCUUGCAACUGAUCUACUUCCAAUAAGUUUCUCUGGACUUUCAUUCACUAUAUACUGUCCUUGAGGCAUAAGAACUUCUCGUGUGGAAAUUUUAGUUAAGCAUUUGCACUGAAUACUGCAACUUCAGUUAAAAAUGUCUAACAAUUUUUUUUUCUUUACAAACUUUGGUUUAUAGUAAACCAGUAUUACUUGUAUUGGUUAGCAUCGUAUGAGUGUGUUAUUUUAAAUCUGGUUUCUCAUAGAUUUUUUAUUUCUUAGCAUACUAUGUGUAUCUCAUUUGCUAAAGUUUUUAAAUUUGUGCUUUUGAAAACCACAGACUUUGUCAAACCAGAAUUUUUCAAAGAAUUUUGGCGUGGAAAAUGCGGUUUUAAACUUAAAAUAUUCUCCAUAGUAAAAUUCAAGUUUGAAUAUGUAAUUAUGUAUUCUAUUUUCUGGUUCUGACUGGAGAUUGUCGCAGAUUGACUGGAGAUUGACUGUUGUAUUUUCUAUGUAAAGAAUUUUAUAAAUUAAUAACUAAAUACUUUCUAACCAAUCGUUUAGUCGAGUUAUUUUAUUGGCACUUACUACAUUACCUGAAGAUUUAAUAAAACUUUUGUUCAGUUUCAUUAAUGAAGUGUGAAAAAUAUCUAAACUAGUAUUGAGGAGAGAAUUAAGACUGCCUAUUUUAAGUACCAGUAUUCUAAAUAGUUCAGAGGGAAUGUAUUAAAGGAAAUAGUCUGUCAAAAGGCAGUAAGCCAAAAAAUCUAUACCUAUGCAGAAAUUGAUGGAGGUCUAGAUAAGACCAGAAGUUUAUCUCGGAAGUAUUUUGAAAUAAUGUUAGGGUUAUUAACAGUUAACAUUUGAAGCUAGGCAGUCCUAGUUAGUAGUACCUUGCCUUGCGGGUGACAGAUAAACCUUUUCACUUUUAGUCGAAAACUACAGUAAUGUAUGAAAGAUGAUUGUAAAUAUAAGAGCUGGUGAAAAUAGAUACGCUAAUUUACUGUUAUGUUUUUAGCCUUAAGUUUCACUGUUCUAACAAUUUUUUAAUCACUAGCUUGUCACUGGUCUAGUUGGUCUUCAUGAACGUAUCUGUGUAUGCUAAGUGUUUGAAUUUGUGGAAAGCCAUGUUAUGGUAUACUUCCUUCUAAAACUUAGUGUGCCAAUGCUGUUAUUGAGGCUGAUGCAAAUGAUCCCAUUUAAAUGAAGACUAGAAGGGACGUGGAUUGCCAGGGACUGUUAAUAAAGAUGUCUAACGUUUUUUCUAGAUAAAUUGGUGUUGUCUCGAGGAAAACCUCUCCCGUGGAAUUCUUCCUUUAAACUGAACCAGAAAAAAAUUCUAUUGAAUGUAUCUCCAAAAGGAAAAUUUCGAUUAGAAUUUAAAGGCGACGCAACGUUUACUGCGAAUCCCAGCUUUUGAGACUUGGAAACUAGAGAAAAUAUCAGUCUUCUCUACGUCAUUUGCUAAUUUUUGUAUCGAAAUGACUGUAUUCCUUAUAGAAAUCUAUCUUUAAUGCAUUCAUUCUUUUAAAGGUCGUUCGUCCUUUGCCCUUAAUUAAAUGUUAAACCCU
This is a long non-coding RNA of Macrobrachium nipponense, 1854 nucleotides long. RefSeq lists it as uncharacterized. The record is from RefSeq and is a predicted model, not a curated record. NCBI's taxonomy places the organism in Eukaryota, Metazoa, Arthropoda, Malacostraca, Decapoda, Palaemonidae. The transcript has 3 exons.